RNAcentral lists this ribosomal RNA (335 nucleotides) under Apostolepis assimilis. RNAcentral's name for it is "partial 12S ribosomal RNA". The record is from RNAcentral. Lineage: Eukaryota; Metazoa; Chordata; Lepidosauria; Squamata; Dipsadidae.
AAAGACUUGACGGUACUUCAUAACAACCUAGAGGAGCCUGUCUAAUAACCGAUACUCCACGAUUAACCCGACCCACCCUAGCCCAACAGUCUAUAUACCGCCGUCGCCAGCUUACCUUGUGAAAGAAAAAAAGUAAGCAAAAUAAGCCACCCCUAACACGACAGGUCAAGGUGUAACUCAUGGGUGGGUAAAAGAUGGGCUACAUUCUCUACCACAGAAAAUACGGAUAAAUUAUGAAACCUAAAAACUGAAGGCGGAUUUAGCAGUAUGUUAAGAAUAAAAUACUUAACUGAAACCAACGCAAUGAAGUGUGUACACACCGCCCGUCAUCCCUG